UACGAAGGGUGCAAGCGUUGUUCGGAUUUACUGGGCGUAAAGCGCGCGCAGGCGGAUAAGCAAGUCAUAUGUGAAAUCUCGGGGCUCAACCCCGAAACUGCGUCUGAAACUGCUAAUCUAGAGUCUUGGAGAGGGAUGGGGAAUUUCCUGUGUAGGGGUAAAAUCCGUAGAGAUAGGAAGGAACACCUGAGGCGAAGGCG
Molecule: ribosomal RNA, 200 nt
Filed under: uncultured bacterium
Lineage: Bacteria
Description: partial 16S ribosomal RNA
Rfam family: Bacterial small subunit ribosomal RNA
Source: RNAcentral